GCUUUAAUUACUAUUAAUAAAGAUUUUGAUGAAGAUGUAAAAAAUGAAAAGUUUUUUUAGUAAUUCUGAAAAUUUCUAUC
This 80-nucleotide transfer RNA is filed under the name Monimopetalum chinense. Its description in RNAcentral is "tRNA-Leu". The record is from RNAcentral. Lineage: Eukaryota; Viridiplantae; Streptophyta; Magnoliopsida; Celastrales; Celastraceae.